AGCCACGAGUUCAUUUCCUUAGCCGAAAGGUUUGGGUAAUCUUGUUAAACUCUGUCGUGCUGGGGAUAGAGCAUUGCAAUUAUUGCUCUUCAACGAGGAAUGCCUAGUAAGCGCAUGUCAUCAGCAUGCGUUGAUUACGUCCCUGCCCUUUGUACACACCGCCCGUCGCUACUACCGAUUGAAUGGCUCGGUGAGGCCUUCGGACUGGCCCAGGGAGGUCGGCAACGACCACCCAGGGCCGGAAAGUUGGUCAAACCCGGUCAUUUAGAGGAAGUAAAAGUCGUAACAAGGUCUCCGUAGGUGAACCUGCGGAGGGAUCAUU
RNAcentral lists this ribosomal RNA (322 nucleotides) under Cladosporium sp. Its description in RNAcentral is "SSU rRNA". It matches the Rfam family "Eukaryotic small subunit ribosomal RNA", at positions 1510 to 1830 of the family's 1831-position model. Lineage: Eukaryota; Fungi; Ascomycota; Dothideomycetes; Cladosporiales; Cladosporiaceae. The record is from RNAcentral.